This 624-nucleotide ribosomal RNA is filed under the name Virgibacillus sp. RNAcentral describes it as "bacterial SSU rRNA". It matches the Rfam family "Bacterial small subunit ribosomal RNA", at positions 726 to 1350 of the family's 1533-position model. Lineage: Bacteria; Bacillati; Bacillota; Bacilli; Caryophanales; Bacillaceae. The record is from RNAcentral.
UCUCUGGUCUGUAACUGACGCUGAGGUGCGAAAGCGUGGGUAGCGAACAGGAUUAGAUACCCUGGUAGUCCACGCCGUAAACGAUGAGUGCUAGGUGUUAGGGGGUUUCCGCCCCUUAGUGCUGAAGUUAACGCAUUAAGCACUCCGCCUGGGGAGUACGGCCGCAAGGCUGAAACUCAAAAGAAUUGACGGGGACCCGCACAAGCGGUGGAGCAUGUGGUUUAAUUCGAAGCAACGCGAAGAACCUUACCAGGUCUUGACAUCCUCUGACACCCCUAGAGAUAGGGCAUUCCCUUCGGGGACAGAGUGACAGGUGGUGCAUGGUUGUCGUCAGCUCGUGUCGUGAGAUGUUGGGUUAAGUCCCGCAACGAGCGCAACCCUUGAUCUUAGUUGCCAGCAUUUAGUUGGGCACUCUAAGGUGACUGCCGGUGACAAACCGGAGGAAGGUGGGGAUGACGUCAAAUCAUCAUGCCCCUUAUGACCUGGGCUACACACGUGCUACAAUGGAUGGAACAAAAGGCAGCGAAGCCGCGAGGCCAAGCAAAUCCCAUAAAACCAUUCUCAGUUCGGAUUGCAGGCUGCAACUCGCCUGCAUGAAGCCGGAAUCGCUAGUAAUCGCGGAUC